GAGUUUGAUCCUGGCUCAGAAUCAACGCUGGCGGCGUGCCUAACACAUGCAAGUCGAACGCGAAAGUGGAGCAAUCCAUGAGUAGAGUGGCAAACGGGUGAGUAACACGUGGGUGACCUGCCUUCGAGUGGGGGAUAACGUCCCGAAAGGGACGCUAAUACCGCAUAACAUCCUGCCUUUGAAGAGGCGGAAAUCAAAGCUGGGGAUCGCAAGACCUAGCGCUUGAAGAGGGGCCCGCGUCCGAUUAGCUAGUUGGUGAGGUAAUGGCUCACCAAGGCAACGAUCGGU
Molecule: ribosomal RNA, 288 nt
Filed under: uncultured Acidobacteriota bacterium
Lineage: Bacteria; Pseudomonadati; Acidobacteriota
Description: uncultured Acidobacteria bacterium partial 16S ribosomal RNA
Rfam family: Bacterial small subunit ribosomal RNA
Source: RNAcentral